GGUCCGGCUGGACGGUCCGCCUUACGGUGUGCACUGCCCGGCCGGUCCUUACCUCCUGGUGGUCCCGUAUGCCCUUCAUCGGGUGUGCGGGGGAACCAGGAACUUUACCUUGAAAAAAUUAGAGUGUUCAAAGCAGGCAAGCGCCCGAAUACAUUAGCAUGGAAUAAGAGAAUAGGACGU
RNAcentral lists this ribosomal RNA (180 nucleotides) under uncultured Glomeromycotina. RNAcentral's name for it is "partial small subunit ribosomal RNA". The record is from RNAcentral. Lineage: Eukaryota; Fungi; Glomeromycota.